RNAcentral lists this ribosomal RNA (423 nucleotides) under Triticum aestivum (bread wheat). RNAcentral's name for it is "partial small subunit ribosomal RNA". Lineage: Eukaryota; Viridiplantae; Streptophyta; Magnoliopsida; Poales; Poaceae. The record is from RNAcentral.
AUGGUGUGCAUGGACGGCAAGAGGGUGCGGCUGUUCCAGUGCCUCUUCUGCGACAAGACGUUCCUCAAGUCGCAGGCGCUCGGCGGCCACCGAAACGCGCACCGCAAGGACCGCCUCGCCGGAGUCCUCGGCGACCCCUACAACAACGACAGUCUGUUGGGAGGUGCCGCCACCGAGCCGUCCUGCGAUUCUGCUGCCGGCUGGUCCAUGUGCAGUUACAUCGCCUCGCACGGCCGUGGCGGCGCGGUCGUUCCAGCCACCGAUGCCUGCACGCAAGAGAGAUGGGGAGGCGGCCGUGCUCCACGCUUCGCGGAGCCCGCGCCGCUCCUGGGCCCGUCCACUGGCCGCGACGGCAUGGGCCGGUCAAGGGCCUCUGGCGCUAGCAGCGCCGACGAGGCGCUAGACGUCGAGCUGCACCUCUAG